This 597-nucleotide small RNA is filed under the name Pongo abelii (Sumatran orangutan). RNAcentral's name for it is "processed transcript". The record is from RNAcentral. Lineage: Eukaryota; Metazoa; Chordata; Mammalia; Primates; Hominidae.
GAAUUGAAAGGGCUUCAGAGUUGCAAGGAAGCUGAUGGCAAGGGAAGCUACUGGACACAGACUUCGUCCUGGGCAUGGUGCUGGCGGUGCUGGAUGCUGGGCCAUGGAGCAGACACUGCUGUUCCCAGGUUUACAGGGGAAGCAAGUGAGGAUUAAGCCAGGCGGCACUCCAGGGUCCGGCCCAAGGUGACUGUCCUGAACUAUGCCUCCCCGAUAACCGCAGUCAGCCGGCCACUGAAUGAGAUGGUCUUGACCCCACUGACAGAGCAGGAGGGGGAAGCCUACCUGGAGAAGUGUGGCAGCGUGCGGCGGCACACGGUGGCCAAUGCCCACUCGGACAUCCAGCUGCUGGCCAUGGCCACCAUGAUGCACUCAGGCCUGGGGGAGGAGGCCAGCAGUGAGAACAAGUGCCUGCUCCUGCCACCCAGCUUCCCCCCACCCCACCGGCAGUGCUCCAGUGAACCCAACAUCACCGACAGCCCUGACGGACUGGAGGAGGGGGCCAGGGGCAGCCAGGAGGGCUCGGAGCUGAACUGUGCUUCCCUCAGCUGAGUCGCCACCCCUGGGCCUUUCCAUCUCCUGUUUUGCAACCAGGAU